GUAGGUGGCAAGCGUUGUCCGGAAUUAUUGGGCGUAAAGCGCGCGCAGGCGGUUCUUUAAGUCUGAUGUGAAAGCCCACGGCUCAACCGUGGAGGGUCAUUGGAAACUGGAGAACUUGAGUGCAGAAGAGGAAAGCGGAAUUCCACGUGUAGCGGUGAAAUGCGUAGAGAUGUGGAGGAACACCAGUGGCGAAGGCGGCUUUCUGGUCUGUAACUGACGCUGAGGCGCGAAAGCGUGGGGGAGCAAACAGGGUUAGAUACCCUGGUAGUCCACGCCGUAAACGAUGAGUGCUAAGUGUUAGGGGGGUUUUCCGCCCCCCUUAGUGCUGCAGCUAACGCAUUAAGCACUCCGCCUGGGAGUACGGCCGCAAGGCUG
RNAcentral lists this ribosomal RNA (375 nucleotides) under uncultured organism. RNAcentral describes it as "partial 16S ribosomal RNA". It matches the Rfam family "Bacterial small subunit ribosomal RNA", at positions 527 to 896 of the family's 1533-position model. The record is from RNAcentral.